UGGGGAAUAUUGGACAAUGGGCGCAAGCCUGAUCCAGCCAUGCCGCGUGAGUGAUGAAGGCCCUAGGGUUGUAAAGCUCUUUCACCGGUGAAGAUAAUGACGGUAACCGGAGAAGAAGCCCCGGCUAACUUCGUGCCAGCAGCCGCGGUAAUACGAAGGGGGCUAGCGUUGUUCGGAUUUACUGGGCGUAAAGCGCACGUAGGCGGACUAUUAAGUCAGGGGUGAAAUCCCGGGGCUCAACCCCGGAACUGCCUUUGAUACUGGUAGUCUUGAGUUCGAGAGAGGUGAGUGGAAUUCCGGGUGUAGAGGUGAAAUGCGCAGAUAUUAGGAGGAAUACCGGUGGCGAAGGCGACUUUCUGGCCAUAAUCUGACGCUGAGGUACGAAAGCGUGGGUAGCAAACAGG
Molecule: ribosomal RNA, 404 nt
Filed under: Verrucomicrobiota bacterium
Lineage: Bacteria; Pseudomonadati; Verrucomicrobiota
Description: Verrucomicrobia bacterium partial 16S ribosomal RNA
Rfam family: Bacterial small subunit ribosomal RNA
Source: RNAcentral